RNAcentral lists this ribosomal RNA (429 nucleotides) under uncultured archaeon. RNAcentral describes it as "bacterial SSU rRNA". It matches the Rfam family "Archaeal small subunit ribosomal RNA", at positions 474 to 903 of the family's 1478-position model. The record is from RNAcentral.
UACCCGCAGCACGAGUGGUGGUCACUUUUAUUGGGCCUAAAGCGUCCGUAGCCUGUUGAGUAAAUGCCUGGGUAAAUCGAUGCGCUCAACGUAUCGACUUCCGGGUAGACUGCUCGACUUGAGACCGGGAGAGGUGUGAGGUACUCCUAGGGUAGAGGUGAAAUUCUGUAAUCCUGGGGGGACCACCAGUGGCGAAGGCGUCUAGCUAGAACGGGUCUGACGGUGAGGAACGAAGCCCUGGGGCGCAAACCGGAUCAGAUACCCGGGUGGUCCAGGGUGUAAACGCUGCUUGCUUGAUGUUAGUUGGGCUCCGAGCCCAAUUAGUGUCGGAGAGAAGUUGUUAAGCAAGCUGCCUGGGAAGUACGGUCGCAAGAUUGAAACUUAAAGGAAUUGGGCGGGGAGCACAGCAACGGGUGGAGCGUGCGGUUU